This 360-nucleotide ribosomal RNA is filed under the name Ornebius novarae. RNAcentral describes it as "partial 12S ribosomal RNA". The record is from RNAcentral. Lineage: Eukaryota; Metazoa; Arthropoda; Insecta; Orthoptera; Mogoplistidae.
AAUAAAUGUAAAAGAUUAUUGUCGGAGUAGUAAGAGUUAAGGUCUUGAAACUCAAAGAAUUUGGCGGUGUUUUAAUUCUGUUCAGAGGAACCUGUUUUGUAAUUGAUGAUACACGAUUAGGUUGACUUAAAUUUGAUUUGUAUAUCGCCGUCAUCAGAUUAUUUUGAUUGAAAAAUUUAAAAUUUCAGAAUAUAUGUGCAGUAUGUUAUGUCAGGUCAAGAUGCAGUUUAUAUUUAAGGUUAUGAUGGGUUACAAUAAAUUAAUAUUUAUACGGAAUAUUUUCUUAGGUAGGGUUAUAUGAAGGUGGAUUUGAAAGUAAAUUGAUUAGAAUUAAUUGAUUGAAUAAGCUCUAGAACAUGC